Molecule: long non-coding RNA, 579 nt
Filed under: Salmo salar (Atlantic salmon)
Lineage: Eukaryota; Metazoa; Chordata; Actinopteri; Salmoniformes; Salmonidae
Description: lncRNA (ENSSSAG00000104896.1)
Source: RNAcentral
UGUCACGAAAUGCGCCGCCGCGUCACCCUUCGGAUAGUGACUUGAACGCACGAACAGAACGGAGCUAUUUGGAUAUAACUAUGGAUUAUUUCGAACCAAAACAACAUUUGUUGUUGAAGUAGAAGUACUGGGAGUGCAUUCUGACGAAGAACAGCAAAGGUGAGAGCUUGCGGGACAAGAAGGCACAGGGAUGGAGCUUCUGGUCCAAGGGAGAACGUUGAGACAGGACUGCACCUCUCCUGUGUCGGAAGCGUCCACCUCGAGGACGAACUGGAGUUCUGGGUCUGGCUGGAGUUAAUGUCGACAGUCAGGAUGUGGAAUACACUGAUGUCAGGAUACUGAAGAAGCAGAUGAGACAGAAGGAAAGAAAGGUGGAUUACGGACAGGUGAAGUGGAGGGGGGUCCCCAGCAGCCAAUGGAGGUGGCUUGGGGAGACCAUUGAAAAUUGGAGGCAGUCUGUAGGAAUACUCAUACCAUUAUCAAUGGAACAUCAUUAGUAGGUACUUUCUAACUCCAUGUCACACCCUGAUCUGUUUCACCUGUCAGCACCUGUAGCUGCUGCUUUUGCGAUAGCUAAUG